UUAUUUUAUCUUUAUUCAAGAUAAAUGGUUUUGAAUUCAAACAUUGUAACAGAAAUUGUCAAGAAUCUAGUCGUGAGUUUAAGCUCCUAUAAUAGUCCAAUAUGAAUACCAGAUUCAAAACAUUUCUAUUCGUUCUUCUCGUUAUAAAAGCUAUUAUUUCGACACAAGCUCAAGCACCCUUAUCUUACGACAACGAUGUGACCAAACAUUUGGAUGGCUGGGUCGGAAAAUUACUAAAAACCGGAACAGACACGUUCAAAAAACUAUUCAGCAAGAUAUCAACGCAAACUCUGAAAGAUUUUAAUUUCGAUAUUGGCAAGGAAAUCUCACCUUUAGGCAACCGGUUUCAAUUUCGCGAUGUCUACAUGAACGUGAGCGAAUUCAAAGCGCCCCAGCUUCACUGGAAAUUCUCCGAGAGUAAAAUGAGCGUAUACGUAAAAGAAUUCACUGUCAGAGUAUUUGGUUCGAUUCUUGUCAGUAGGUGCUGCUCUCUUCGGUGCGCACCAAAAUACACUUCACACUCCUCGUUUUGUACCAGUAUAGACACUGCACCUGGGCCCUCCGGGUAAGACCAUCGACC
Planococcus citri (citrus mealybug) is the source of this 580-nucleotide long non-coding RNA. RefSeq lists it as uncharacterized. The transcript is spliced from 3 exons. Lineage: Eukaryota; Metazoa; Arthropoda; Insecta; Hemiptera; Pseudococcidae. The record is from RefSeq and is a predicted model, not a curated record.